CUUUUUUCUUCUUUUGUCGAACACCUCCACUUGUCAAACCUGGAAUCUUUGAUCCUUGAUAAUGAGACAGAAAUUCCGGCCAAUAAAAUUCCUGAGAUCGGGUGUCUUAACUGGGACCUGUAUAUUCCUCGAGAGUAGUUACGUUGUGUGUUGACUAACUAGAGAGUAAAAGAGAGUGAAAAUGGAGUUGAAAGUUGCAUUGCCUUUCGUGGGGAUGGUAAUGGCAGAGUGUGCCCAAGUUGGGCUUAUAGUAGUAAGCAAAGCGGCCAUGUCUAAAGGCAUGAGCAGUUUCAUCUUUGUCUGUUACUCUAAUGCCCUCGCCUCUCUCAUCCUUCUCCCUUCUUCUUUGCUUUUGCACAGAUCACAGAGGCCUCCUCUUACCUUCUCAAUUAUCUGUGGAUUCUUCUUGCUUGGUCUAUUUGGUUGCUUGGCACAGUUUUUUGGGUAUGCUGGGAUUAACCUCAGUUCUCCUACGCUUGGCACAGCCAUGCUCAAUCUCGUCCCUGGUUUUACCUUCAUGCUUGCUGUUGCAUUAAGGAUGGAAAAAGUUGACUGGAGAACCUCUAGAACUCUAGCUAAAGCCAUGGGAACCAUAGUAUCAAUUGGAGGGGCAUUCAUUUUAACUUACUACAGAGGUCCACCGGUUUUGAUGACACUCUCUUCUUUGAACGCCUCUCCUCAACGUUUCAUGCAAUUGUCAAAUUGGGUUAUUGGAGGAUCGCUACUUGCAGUUGAUUGUGUUAUGGCUUCUGCAUGGAUCAUCAUACAGGCAUUGAUACUCAAGAAAUACCCAGCAGAGCUGAUUGUUGUCUUUUUCUACUGCUUCUUUGUGACGAUUCUGUCUGCAAUAGUUUGUGUGGUUGUAGAAAGAGACCCUUUUGCUUGGAGCUUAAAACCUAAUAUAAGAUUGGCUGCUGUUUUGUACUCGGGAGUUUUUGGGUCGGCAUUCCAAGUUGGCAUUACUACAUGGUGCCUGCGGCAGACAGGCCCUGUUUUUGUUUCUAUGUUCAAGCCCCUGGGCAUUGUCAUUGCGGCUGUUGCAGGUGUCAUCUUCUUAGGGGAUACCUUGUACCUUGGGAGUUGGAGCAAUUGUGAUAGUCACCGGGUUCUAUUUGGUGAUGUGGGGAAAAGCCAAAGAAUGGGAGAUGGGUGUGGAUGCUGUAGUGAGGAGCUUUGAGUCAAGCAGCCAAAAAGUCCCUCUUCUGCAAAGCUCUAUUGAAGAAAAUAGAAGUGUUUUGCAAUGACAAAAAAAAAAAAAAUUCCUUUUGCCAAACCAAAUAGAUGAACUUAAUACGUCUUCAACUUUUGAAUAAGCUCUUCCUCAUAUGUUUUACCCAGAAAGGAGGAAGAAGUCCGCAAAGAAUAUAUAAGGUACUUUGUUUGUCUGUAAUAGAACUAGAUAUGGAAGGCACGUUCAGAGAUCCAAGCAUGUGAGAAAGGCAACUGCAAUGGCUGUGGGCUCAAUAACAUUGGCUUUGAUUGAAAGGAAGUCUUUGUGCCUGAAAGCAGCUUAGAAAUUGGUUGGUAAUAAAGUGAGAACUCGACAGUUAGGCUAGGGUCAACUUACUGUCUAAAGAUGAUAUUGAAAAUUUCUACAUUUUCAACUUAUUUUUAAUUAAAACACUGUCUCAUGACUAGAUCACCGUCAUGACCAGCAGCAUUGACAUUCAAUUUGAUAUAGAACAUAGAGUUUGCACGCGUGA
Molecule: RNA transcript, 1703 nt
Organism: Manihot esculenta (cassava)
Lineage: Eukaryota; Viridiplantae; Streptophyta; Magnoliopsida; Malpighiales; Euphorbiaceae
Gene name: WAT1-related protein At3g28050
Exons: 8
Source: RefSeq, a predicted model, not a curated record